UCUAAAGGAACUGCCUACGCAAGUAGUGAGGAAGGCGGGGAUGACGUCAAAUCAGCACGGCCCUUACGUCCAGGGCUACACACGUGCUACAAUGGCCGAUACAGAGGGCAGCUACCUGGUGACAGGAUGCAAAUCUCCAAAGUCGGUCUCAGUUCGGAUCGGAGUCUGCAACCCGACUCCGUGAAGUUGGAUUCGCUAGUAAUCGCGCAUCAGCCAUGGCGCGGUGAAUACGUUCCCGGGCCUU
This 244-nucleotide ribosomal RNA is filed under the name uncultured Sphingobacteriales bacterium. RNAcentral's name for it is "partial 16S ribosomal RNA". It matches the Rfam family "Bacterial small subunit ribosomal RNA", at positions 1139 to 1382 of the family's 1533-position model. Lineage: Bacteria; Pseudomonadati; Bacteroidota; Sphingobacteriia; Sphingobacteriales. The record is from RNAcentral.